This is a small nucleolar RNA of Arabidopsis thaliana (thale cress), 290 nucleotides long. The record is from RefSeq. NCBI's taxonomy places the organism in Eukaryota, Viridiplantae, Streptophyta, Magnoliopsida, Brassicales, Brassicaceae.
GCUGUUCUAUGAUGAUUAUAUUGCUUUAACCACACUGAAAAGAUGGGCUUGAGAAUGUGAUGUGGUUCUUCUUGAUUUAAUCCAAAGAAAGAGUUCUUGAGCUAUAUGUAUUGCUUGAUGACACUUUGAUCUAAAAUACUUGAAGGGGAUUUGUUUCCCUUUGUGUUUUAGAUCAAGGAAGAGAUCAGUGUAGAGCUCUUGUUCGAUAUUUUUCUUAGUUUAAAUCUUGAAGAACAUUAUCAUUUUCUCAAGCACUCAUAUGUGGAAUCAUUGUGCCCUUUGUCUGAGAA